Molecule: ribosomal RNA, 43 nt
Filed under: uncultured fungus
Lineage: Eukaryota; Fungi
Description: partial 28S ribosomal RNA
Source: RNAcentral
UGACCUCAAAUCAGGUAGGAUUACCCGCUGAACUUAAGCAUAU